CCUACGGGUGGCAACAGUGGGGAAUAUUGCACAAUGGGGGAAAGCCUGAUGCAGCGACGCCGCGUGAGUGAAGAAGUAUUUCGGUACGUAAAGCUCUAUUAGCAGGGAAGAAAAUGACGGUACGUGACUAAGAAGCUCCGGCUAACUACGGGCCAGCAGCCGCGGUAAUACGUAGGGCGCCAGCGUUAUCCGGAUUUUCUGGGUGUAAAGGGAGCGUAGACGGUUGGGCAAGUCUGAAGUGAAAUCCCAUGGCUUAACCAUGGAACGGCGUUGGAAACUGGGCAGCUUGAGUGCAGGAGAGGUAAGCGGAAUUCCUAGUGUAGCGGUGAAAUGCGUAGAUAUUAGGAGGAACACCAGUGGCGAAGGCGGCUUACUGGACUGUAACUGACGUUGAGGCUCGAAAGCGUGGGGAGCAAACAGGAUUAGAUACCCGGGUAGUC
RNAcentral lists this ribosomal RNA (440 nucleotides) under uncultured bacterium. Its description in RNAcentral is "partial 16S ribosomal RNA". It matches the Rfam family "Bacterial small subunit ribosomal RNA", at positions 338 to 795 of the family's 1533-position model. The record is from RNAcentral.